AGUGAACGCUGGCGGCAGGCCUAAUACAUGCAAGUCGAACGGCAGCACAGCAGAGCUUGCUCUGUGGGUGGCGAGUGGCGGACGGGUGAGGAAUACAUGGGAAUCUGCCCAGUCGUGGGGGAUAACGUAUGGAAACGUACGCUAAUACCGCAUGCGCCCUACGGGGGAAAGCCGGGGACCGAAAGGCCUGGCGCGAUUGGAUGAGCCCAUGUUCGAUUAGCUAGUUGGCGGGGUAAAGGCCCACCAAGGCGACGAUCGAUAGCUGGUCUGAGAGGAUGAUCAGCCACACUGGAACUGAGACACGGUCCAGACUCCUACGGGAGGCAGCAGUAGGGAAUAUUGGACAAUGGGGGCAACCCUGAUCCAGCCAUGCCGCGUGAGGGAUGAAGGUCUUCGGAUUGUAAACCUCUGUCACUGGGGAGAAAACGCUUUGAGUUAAUAGUUCAAAGCCUGAUUUAACCCGGAGAGGAAGCAGUGGCUAACU
RNAcentral lists this ribosomal RNA (484 nucleotides) under uncultured bacterium. RNAcentral's name for it is "bacterial SSU rRNA". It matches the Rfam family "Bacterial small subunit ribosomal RNA", at positions 29 to 502 of the family's 1533-position model. The record is from RNAcentral.